UCCCCGUUACCGGGGCAGUCUGAUUAGAAAAAUCCAACUAAUCACAAGGGUUGCGCUCGUUGAUGGACUUAACCAAACAUCUCACGACACGAGCUGACGACGGCCAUGCAGCACCUGUCACUACGGUCCGAAGACACUCUCUGCUUUCGCAGAAAUUAGUAGGAUGUCAAGCCCUGGUAAGGUUCUUCGCUUAUCAUCGAAUUAAACAACACGCUCCACCGCUUGUGCGGGUCCCCGUCAAUUCCUUUAUGUUUUAGCCUUGCGGCCGUACUCCACAGGCGGGAUGCUUAACGCGUUAGCUUCGCAACACAGCGGGUCGAUACGCUGUACUGCUAGCAUCCAUCGUUUACGGCGUGGACUAC
This 362-nucleotide unclassified non-coding RNA is filed under the name uncultured bacterium. Its description in RNAcentral is "contains 16S-23S intergenic spacer region". The record is from RNAcentral.